GCAGCGGGGCGACCCCGGGGCGGCGGGGCGCGCUUCGCCAUGGAGGGCAUGGACGUGGAUUUGGACGCGGAGCUGAUGCAGAAGUUCAGCUGUUUGGGUACUACCGACAAGGACGUGCUGAUCGGCGAGUUCCAGAGGCUCCUCGGUUUCCAGCUUAGCCCGGCCGGCUGCGCUUUCUUCCUCGACAUGACCAACUGGAAUCUACAAGCAGCCAUUGGAGCCUAUUAUGAUUUUGAGAGUCCAAACAUCAACGUACCCUCCAUGUCCUUUGUUGAAGAUGUCACCAUAGGUGAAGGAGAGUCCAUCCCUCCUGACACCCAGUUUACAAAAACAUGGAGGAUACAAAACACAGGGACAGAGGUCUGGCCUCCAGGAGUUUGUCUGAAGUACGUUGGGGGAGACCAGUUUGGCCACGUAAACAUGGUCAUGGUCAGGUCCCUGGAGCCCCAGGAGAUUGCAGAUGUCAGCGUUCAGAUGUGCAGCCCCAGCACAGCAGGAAUGUAUCAGGGACAGUGGCGAAUGUGCACUGCCACAGGACUGUAUUAUGGAGAUGUCAUCUGGGUGAUCCUCAGUGUGGAAGUGGGAGGACUUCUAGGAGUAACACAGCAGCUGUCAUCCUUUGAAACGGAGUUCAACACGCAACCGCACCGCAAGGUAGAAGGAAACUUUAACCCGUUCGCCUCUCCACAGAAGAACAGGCAACCAGAUGAAAACAACCUAAAAGACCCUGGGGGUUCUGAGCUAGGCACAAUCAGCAAAAACACGUGGGGGCCUGCUCCUGACCAAAUUGAACAAGAUCAGAAUGGACUGUCACAAAACUCUGUAAAUCUCUCCCCCAGCAGUCACUCGAACAACUUGUCGGUAGUGACAUACAGUAAGGUAGGUGCCCUGGGAGAACAGGAGAAUGGGUAGGUGAUGAGACUGUGCUGUAUGUAAUAGUUCUUCAUUACAAACUGCAAAGCCCUUCCCUUCUGCUUCUGCCAGACCUGCUAAGGAAGGUUUUGAAUUUGACUGUCCGACUCUGCCAACUCCUCAUGUUAUAUUAAAAUACUUUUGCCUCUAAUAGACUCUACCAGAUCCACCUUUUCUUUUUGUUUUUGCUUCGAGUCCUUCUUAAAGUUUAUAUAAUCUUGUCUGGGUGCUGUAACUAUCAGUGGCUGGAGCCUAUUCCAGCUGCAUGUGCAAAUAAGUCAAAAUAUCUCUCAAGAUGUGUUCCUGAGUUUUACAUAAUUAAAAAGAGAAAACAUAACCACACCUCCAAAACUUGAGAUUAACCAGAUGACUUCUGUUGUUUGUUUUGUUUUGUUUUAAACUGGUGUGGAGAGACUGCAGAGCUCAGUGCUUUGGUCCCAGAAGCUAUUGGUCAGGAGCAGUCAGAGGACUAUUGCUGUGUCCUUGUCUUGUUUAUAAUUGGUUUCCACGGUCCUUAUCCCUUCGGACAGUCUUAAAACACACACACACAAAAACGGGUAUCGGCAAGAGGAGAAUUUAACAGAGAACUGACUUGUGGGGGAAGGGAGAGGGGGAUUCAUGUGGCAAACAGACGCGGCGUGGAGCCCCCUUCUCUGCCUCCAUGUUCUGGAUAAAGAAGACAAAAAAAAAAAGCCCAAUAACUUAAGACUGUUUCUGGAGGAAAGAUCUCAGUAUGCAUGUGUGAAUGCUGAAUUUCAGGAGUGCUGUUUAAUGCUAUGAGAAGGAAACUAUACCAACACCGUGAUUUUUUUUUUUUUUUUUUUUUUUUUUUAGAAGUCAUU
RNA transcript from Lagopus leucura (white-tailed ptarmigan), 1754 nucleotides. It is a transcript of the gene named inflammation and lipid regulator with UBA-like and NBR1-like domains, with no coding region annotated. The record is from RefSeq and is a predicted model, not a curated record. Lineage: Eukaryota; Metazoa; Chordata; Aves; Galliformes; Phasianidae. The transcript is spliced from 5 exons.